RNAcentral lists this long non-coding RNA (1663 nucleotides) under Triticum aestivum (bread wheat). RNAcentral's name for it is "long non-coding RNA (TAES_LNC017693)". Lineage: Eukaryota; Viridiplantae; Streptophyta; Magnoliopsida; Poales; Poaceae. The record is from RNAcentral.
UGAUAUGAUUUUGCUGUAAUCAAUAGCCUUCCACACAAACAGGCUGGAAAUAAUAUAGGGUCACAAUGAUUCAAUGAUAGCAUAGAGAAUAAUUCAGCCAUGUUCUACAUGACUUCAUGACAGCAAAAUAAGUGAGUCUUUACCUCACAUAUAGGACUUCAUGAUAGCAAAAUAAGUGAGUCUUUACCUCACAGCAAAAUAAAUGUGAGUCUCUACCUCACAUACAAAGCAAAUAAAAGUGAGUUUGCACCUCACAUACACAACAAUAAAAGUGAGUCUCCACCCACAGCCGAGUUCAUCACAACCACAAACAAGCUCACAGGUCGCUUAAUUUCUUCCUCUUAGGUGUCAUUUUCUUCUUCUUUCCUUUUGCUGGAGGUUUUGGUGGUGGGGUAGCAGCUUGGCUCCUUGUGACAGGUCCAGGACUAGCUUGAGCUGCAGCUUGGCUUCUUGUGACAGCUCCAGGACUGCUACAAGUGGCAUCAUUCUUUCUCCAUUUGGUGCCUCACAACCUACAACAAAAAAUUGUACAGAUCUGAAUGUUAUUACUAUGACAAAAAAUGAAGCAAUAAAAAUAUAAAGCACAAAGGCAAUUACCAUCACGCAAUUUUCAUCCCUUCGCCAACUAGCAGUUAAAGCCCAUUUGCAAGGGUCACCUAUUAUGGAUUGACCUUUGCAAAAAGCACGAAACCUCCCUGGCUCAUUUUUCUUUGUGCCAUAUUCAAACUCUCCAUUGACAGCCCACUGUUUUAAAGCCUUUCUAAAUUCAACCAUGUUAGGAUAAGGUGUCCCUAUAUCCAUGGCUGGGUUUCGUUCAUCCCAGGCAAUAAGUGGCUCCUCUGGAGCAUUAUCAUCAACAACAAUAUCUGCAUCUUUGAUAUCAUGUAAGUCAGACUCCACAUCAGGAGUAGGAACGGCAAUAGAACGAAGCUCAGUUCCUCUCUCAUCCGGUUCUGUUUUUAAACCAAACAGAGCAAACAUGGCUUUCUCGUCCGGCGGUUUUUCAUCUCCAUCAUUUUCUGGUUCAAUCACAAGACUUGACCAAUCAAUAAUAGCACUACCAUUUUCUACUUCAUUGCAUGAGAUCGCCCCCGUGGUUAGGUUUAUCACACUGGAUUGGUUAGAAUCAUGCACAGACAUUGCAUCGAUCCUAUUCAAUAUAGACAGAAAAAAUCAGAAAAAUCACACACCAAAACUCAUGCAUACAUCAAUUAGAACAGGGGAAUAUGAUGUUAUCUUUUCAGAUCCAUCACACCCCUUAGUCAAUCCAGCCCCUCCCACUCAAAUCCCAUGCCAAUCACACACAAGACCUAGGUUUCCACGAUUUAGAAACUAUACCAGAAGAAAAGCACAAAAUCUGUGAAAAAUACAAGGGGGAAGAGGUUGCCUUACCUUGGGCCAGCGAAGGAAGGCGGCGGAUGGGGGGAAACGCGGCGGAGCAGGGCAGCGGACGGCGGGCGCAGCGGCUCUGGCGACUGGCGGCGGGGCGGCUGGCGGCUAGGUCAAGUCGGGGAGGGGAGGGGAGAUAGAAUGAAAAACAGGCCAGGCCUUGGGCCUCGGUCUCGUGAGUUUGGGGAAAAUUGGACGAGGGCAGUUUUGGCAAUUCCAAAUUUGUUAAGUCCAGAUUCUUUCCUUAUGCGCUAAAUCCAGAGAUAACAGCGCU